This 253-nucleotide ribosomal RNA is filed under the name uncultured bacterium. Its description in RNAcentral is "partial 16S ribosomal RNA". It matches the Rfam family "Bacterial small subunit ribosomal RNA", at positions 524 to 776 of the family's 1533-position model. The record is from RNAcentral.
UACGGAGGGUGCAAGCGUUAUUCGGAAUCAUUGGGCGUAAAGGGCGCGCAGGCGGUCUUUUAAGUCAGAUGUGAAAGCCCGGGGCUCAACCCCGGAAGUGCAUUUGAAACUGAGAGACUUGAGUAUGGGAGAGGGAAGUGGAAUUCCUGGUGUAGAGGUGAAAUUCGUAGAUAUCAGGAGGAACACCGGUGGCGAAGGCGACUUCCUGGACCAAUACUGACGCUGAGGCGCGAAGGCGUGGGGAGCAAACAGG